This 82-nucleotide small RNA is filed under the name Flavobacterium degerlachei. Its description in RNAcentral is "Flavo-1 RNA". It matches the Rfam family "Flavo-1 RNA". The record is from RNAcentral. Lineage: Bacteria; Pseudomonadati; Bacteroidota; Flavobacteriia; Flavobacteriales; Flavobacteriaceae.
UUGCGUUAAGGAUUGUAGAGGAAAUCCUUUUUAUUUUAUUUUUCUUAAAAUAAAAAGAUUGUAACGUAAAGCCUGACCCGCU